GAUGAACGCUGGCGGCGUGCCUAUUACAUGCAAGUCGAGCGAACAGACGAGGAGCUUGCUCCUCUGACGUUAGCGGCGGACGGGUGAGUAACACGUGGAUAACCUACCUAUAAGACUGGGAUAACUUCGGGAAACCGGAGCUAAUACCGGAUAAUAUAUUGAACCGCAUGGUUCAAUAGUGAAAGACGGUUUUGCUGUCACUUAUAGAUGGAUCCGCGCCGCAUUAGCUAGUUGGUAAGGUAACAGCUUACCAAGGCAACGAUGCGUAGCCGACCUGAGAGGGUGAUCGGCCACACUGGAACUGAGACACGGUCCAGACUCCUACGGGAGGCAGCAGUAGGGAAUCUUCCGCAAUGGGCGAAAGCCUGACGGAGCAACGCCGCGUGAGUGAUGAAGGUCUUCGGAUCGUAAAACUCUGUUAUUAGGGAAGAACAAAUGUGUAAGUAACUAUGCACGUCUUGACGGUACCUAAUCAGAAAGCCACGGCUAACUACGUG
This 497-nucleotide ribosomal RNA is filed under the name uncultured bacterium. RNAcentral describes it as "partial 16S ribosomal RNA". It matches the Rfam family "Bacterial small subunit ribosomal RNA", at positions 28 to 507 of the family's 1533-position model. The record is from RNAcentral.